CGGACGGGUGAGUAACACGUGGAUAACCUACCUAUAAGACUGGGAUAACUUCGGGAAACCGGAGCUAAUACCGGAUAAUAUAUUGAACCGCAUGGUUCAAUAGUGAAAGACGGUUUUGCUGUCACUUAUAGAUGGAUCCGCGCUGCAUUAGCUAGUUGGUAAGGUAACGGCUUACCAAGGCAACGAUGCGUGGCCGACCUGAGAGGGUGAUCGGCCACACUGGAACUGAGACACGGUCCAGACUCCUACGGGAGGCAGCAGCC
This 263-nucleotide ribosomal RNA is filed under the name uncultured Staphylococcus sp. RNAcentral describes it as "partial 16S ribosomal RNA". It matches the Rfam family "Bacterial small subunit ribosomal RNA", at positions 99 to 355 of the family's 1533-position model. The record is from RNAcentral. Lineage: Bacteria; Bacillati; Bacillota; Bacilli; Caryophanales; Staphylococcaceae.